CAGUCGCCGCGGUAAUACGAAGGGUGCAAGCGUUAAUCGGAAUUACUGGGCGUAAAGCGUGCGUAGGCGGUGAGUUAAGUCUGCUGUGAAAUCCCCGGGCUCAACCUGGGAACUGCGCUUGUAACUGCACAGCUAGAGUAUGGCAGAGGGGGGUGGAAUUCCACGUGUAGCAGUGAAAUGCGUAGAGAUGUGGAGGAACACCGAUGGCGAAGGCAGCCCCCUGGGCCAAUACUGACGCUCAUGCACGAAAGCGUGGGGAGCAAACAGGAUUAGAUACCCCUGUAGUCCCUGUCUCUUAUAC
RNAcentral lists this ribosomal RNA (301 nucleotides) under uncultured bacterium. RNAcentral's name for it is "partial 16S ribosomal RNA". It matches the Rfam family "Bacterial small subunit ribosomal RNA", at positions 509 to 807 of the family's 1533-position model. The record is from RNAcentral.